UACGUAGGGUGCAAGCGUUAAUCGGAAUUACUGGGCGUAAAGCGUGCGCAGGCGGUUUUGUAAGUCUGUUGUGAAAUCCCCGGGCUUAACCUGGGAAUGGCAAUGGAGACUGCAAGGCUAGAGUUUGGCAGAGGGGGGUAGAAUUCCACGUGUAGCAGUGAAAUGCGUAGAGAUGUGGAGGAACACCGAUGGCGAAGGCAGCCCCCUGGGUCAAGACUGACGCUCAUGCACGAAAGCGUGGGGAGCGAACAGG
This 253-nucleotide ribosomal RNA is filed under the name uncultured bacterium. RNAcentral's name for it is "partial 16S ribosomal RNA". It matches the Rfam family "Bacterial small subunit ribosomal RNA", at positions 524 to 776 of the family's 1533-position model. The record is from RNAcentral.